This 2690-nucleotide long non-coding RNA is filed under the name Homo sapiens (human). RNAcentral's name for it is "HSALNT0279915". Lineage: Eukaryota; Metazoa; Chordata; Mammalia; Primates; Hominidae. The record is from RNAcentral.
AUUUAAUCCUGGGGUUCAAUUAGUGACUGGAGUGUAGCUGCCGCCGCCACCACCACCACCACCACCACCACCACCAUCUUAUCACCGCCAGCAAUGAGAUCUCAAGACAUUCUGUAAACAUUUCUUUGGCAUGUAUCAGUGUCCCUGAGAGCGUUGAUAAUCUGCUUGAAUGUGAGCUCAAUGCUGGGACGGCCUCCCCGGACUUGGCAGGCAGCCCUUGAACAAACCUUUUGUGCCUGCAUCCCUCUGAUGGACAGGCACUGAGGAUGCCGGUGACCCAGCUUCUAGAAAGAAUCACAGCAGGGAAGGGGCAUUGCUAAGUAGUCUUCCAACCUGGGGACACAAGCUAAAAAUGAGAGAAAACUCAGAUCAACAGUGCUGCUGAGCUUAUUACGUUUAAGACGAAAAACAAUACCUGAUUAAAGCAACAAAACACCUGGAUAUUUUGCAGUUAGCCCCGUUAAUCAGAGAAGGAUGAGCCUUGGGGCUGUGGCUCAGGUUCCUAAUCCUGUUGCUAGAGUUUUUCACUUUUGUUCUCAUUUCUGCGGCUGACAUGGGAUCCUACAGAUUGUUUAUCCCAAGGCUGUCUGGGCCUGGGCUCUGUGAACAGUGUCACUCUAAAAAUAACAGGCUGUGCCGAGAAUAGCAGACUUUCUCCUUUUUCCUGCAGAAGACGACUUCUCAGCUCCUUGGAGGGGUCAGUACGAGGUGAGAGCCAUAGAAAGAUGGCAACGAAAAAGAAAGAGACAUUCUGCAAUGGGUUGAAUGGGGUCUCCCUGACAUUUACAUCACCCAGAACCUCAAAAUAUGACCUUAUCUGGAAACAGGGUCUUUUGAGAUGUCAUGGAUUCUGCUGCCAUCAGCAGAGAGACAGAAAGGUCUGCCCUCUGGAAGUCAGCUGAAGCCCAGUGCAAAGUGCAGCUGGUCAAGACAUUGUGGUUCUCAAUCAGGAACCCUUUGCAAUGUCAGCCUCCCCUAGGAUGAGUGAGCAAGCUUGGCGGGAAUAUGGGGGUGUUGAUUAUGGUCUCUCCUCUGGGACAUUCAGAAUCAAUCUGUCCGUCGCAAGAUCGAAAUAAAGUGGUGAUAUAGAUGAGUCUGAGAACUUAUCUACAACUCACAGCAGCAACUCUCUGUGUAAAUGUUAAUUGUACAAUCAGGGUAAAAAAAAUAACUCUAAUACCAUAUGUGCAUGUUAGGAAAUUAUCUAAGUGCAUAUGGAAUCGGGAGCUCAGAGGCUGAAGGAACUGAAAGGAUUUUCCAUAUAAAAUUCUUUACUGCAUGUUACAGGCUGAAUUGUGUUUCCUCAAAAUUUAUAUGUUAAAUCCUAAACAUUGGGACCUCAGAAUGUCACUGUAUUUGGAGAUAAGGUCUUUAAAGAGGUGAUUAAGGUAAAAUGAGGUCACUAAGAUGGGCACCAAUCCAAUAGGACUGGGGUCUUUAUAAGAAGAGAAUAUUAGGACACAGACAUAAAUACAGGGACGACCCUGUGAGGACAAAGGGAGAAGACAGCAUCUACAAGCUCAGGAGAGAAGCUUUAGGAGGAGCCAACCCUUCCCAUACCUUGAGCUUAGACUUCCAGCCUCCAGGACUGUGGGAGAAUAAAUGUCUGCUGUUUGUAAACCACCCAGUCUAUGGUGUGCUGUUAUAGCAGCCUGAAAUGGACUAAGCCAUCUCAUAAGAAGAGGAGACAGAUACACACAGAGGGACAACCAUUUGAGGACACAGGGAGAAGACAGUGUCUACAAGCUCAGGAGAGAGGCCUCGAGAGGAACCAGCCCUGCCCACACCUUGAUCUUGGAAUUCCAACCUCCAGGACUGUGGAGAAUAAGUGUCUGUUGCUUGUAAGCCAUUAAGUCUAUGGUAUUAUGUUACAGAAGCCUGAAAUUGACUAAGACAUCUCAUAAGAAGAAGAGAUGAGGACACAGACACACACAGAGGGACGACCACAUGAGGACACAGGGAGAAGAUGGCAUCUACAAGGCUACGAGAGAGGCUUCAGGAGGAACCAGCCGUGCUCACCCCUUGAUCUCAGAUUUCCAGCCUCCAGAACCGUGAGAAAAUAAAUCUUUGUUGUUUAAGUCACCUGGUCUGUGGAACUUUCUUAUGGAAGUCCUAGAAAACUAAUAUACUGCAUGAAAAGAAACCUUCCUAUAACAUCAUUCAUGAGGAUAAAUUUAGCUUGUAUUGUGUUUCUUCAUCGUCAAUAACUUAGAAUAAAAUGUGAGAAGAACAGUAAUGUAAACAUACUGAUAUUUACCCCAAAUGGGAAAAUUGUAGCUAGUAUUUUCCCUCAAGAAGAUCUGUUCCCUUUAUUAUAGAAUUGCUAUUCCAACCACUUCAAUAUUAUAAUUCCUACUAUCUUCCUUAACAUCUCUAUAAAAUAAACCUUAAACAUUUUCCAUCAACAUCUUGCAAAUCAAUUUGCAGGCCAAAAAUUAUUUCUAACAUCUUCCUGAAUUUUUUCAUAUGAUAAUUUAAAUUUAUACUCUCUUUGUUUCCUUUGUGAAAAAACAAUUCCUAGUUAGAAUGAGAAGAAAGCCCCAAUUAUGUUGGGAUUAAAUGCCGGGAACAAUUAAAUGUUGGGAACAUUUUAGUUCAAAAGAAGACCAUGUUUCAUUUCAUUUACCCUUCAAGAAAGGUAAGGUGAAUAUUAUCAUAUAUUUUUCCUCAAUUCCUUGCUAUUCACCCAU